AGAGCGAACGCUGGCGGCAGGCUUAACACAUGCAAGUCGAGCGGGCGUAGCAAUACGUCAGCGGCAGACGGGUGAGUAACGCGUGGGAACGUACCUUUUGGCUCGGAACAACACAGGGAAACUUGUGCUAAUACCGGAUAAGCCCUUACGGGGAAAGAUUUAUCGCCAAAAGAUCGGCCCGCGUCUGAUUAGCUAGUUGGUGAGGUAACGGCUCACCAAGGCGACGAUCAGUAGCUGGUCUGAGAGGAUGAUCAGCCACAUUGGGACUGAGACACGGCCCAAACUCCUACGGGAGGCAGCAGUGGGGAAUAUUGGACAAUGGGCGCAAGCCUGAUCCAGCCAUGCCGCGUGAGUGAUGAAGGCCCUAGGGUUGUAAAGCUCUUUUGUGCGGGAAGAGUAAUGACGGUACCGCAAGAAUAAGCCCCGGCUAACUUCGUGCCAGCAGCCGC
This 449-nucleotide ribosomal RNA is filed under the name uncultured bacterium. Its description in RNAcentral is "SSU rRNA". It matches the Rfam family "Bacterial small subunit ribosomal RNA", at positions 26 to 518 of the family's 1533-position model. The record is from RNAcentral.